Molecule: RNA transcript, 2741 nt
Organism: Callithrix jacchus (white-tufted-ear marmoset)
Lineage: Eukaryota; Metazoa; Chordata; Mammalia; Primates; Cebidae
Source: RefSeq, a predicted model, not a curated record
CCUUGACAGGCUUGCUCUCCAAUGAGAAGCCUCGGAAAAGUGUUGCGUGGAGGCGGAGCUAUGUGGAGCAGACAUGACGGCGCCUGCUCAAAGGCCUUGGACACUGGGAGACUAGGUCAACCGAACCCCGCCUCCAGCGCUAUGGAAAAGUGCUGACACGUUAUGCUCCUUACCUCAUCUCGGCUACUAGAAAGUCUUGGGCCCCCGCCUAAGACGUUGGGCCACUCUCUUUUCUCUAUCUCUGUGUCUUGUGUCUUUUAUUUCUAGUUUCUCCUCUCCACACCAGCAGAGAGGGGCUCAAAAGACCCUGUAGGGCUGGACCCUACACCAAGUAGCUGGGAUUACAGGCGCCCACCACCAUGCCUGGCUAAUUUUGUGUUUUCAGUAGAAUCAGGGUUUUGCCAUGUUGGCCAGGCUGGUCUCAAACUCCUGAACUCAGGUGAUCCACCUGCCUCAGCCUCCCAAAGUGCUGGGAUUACAGGCAUGAACCACCACGCCCAACCACCCUUGCCCUUCUUAAACUCCUCUCUUCUCUGAGAGUCCUUCCUCCUCUAAGGCCCCUUCCCCAGCCCCAGCCUCUGGGUCCCAUUACUUGGAAUAGGGCCAAGGGCCUGGGUGAAAUGGGGAAGCAGGGCACCCCUGUAAAGAGGAAAGCUGUCAUGGGGGCUGAAGUGGUGUCUGGGCCUUGUCCUCAUUUGCUGUCCCUGGGCUGGGCAGGUGGGAACGGAUUUGGGGCCAGGACCUGGUUAAGCUGUCGGAUUAGACAUGGAGGCUCUUAAUCCCCUCACUGACCUUUACGAGUGGCCAAGGCCCUGCCCUUCUCAGUGGAAAACCAGGCUGGGCUUCCCUGCUCCCACCCUCCUUCCAAACAAAACCCCCUUCGUGCCCCUUCACUUCCAACUUAACAUCGUUUCCCAACACUGCAUUUCCAUGGCCCCCUGCCCCCAUCCCUUCCUACCCCAGACACCUGAGCUGGAAGGAAAGCCAGCUAAUUAAUUCCAUCCGGUUAUUACAUGGGGAUUCUGAAGGAUAAAGGGAGAUGGAGAAGCCGGAGCGGGCACCUGGGUUGAUGCAGCACUUGUGAAGGCUGAAUGCCAGUGACGGUGACUGCCCUCAGUCCAGAAUACAGGCUGGGAACACGUCCUCCUCCCUGUCACUGACUGCCUCUGCAGCUGGCUCCCAGCCUGUAGAGUACUUAGGUAGAUGGCAACAUGGGCAGGGGGCCAGGUCCCAGGACCCAUGCUCGAGAAACACAUUUGCAGACACACCCUCUGGGGCUCCUAAUUCUUUAAUCUGGGGGAGAGGUCUCCCCCUAAAACACCCACAGUGGGAAGAACCUUGGUGUCCAGAGCUACUUCCUCCUUCCCAGGUCCCCAAGCUGGGCCAGGGAAGGGACUCUGGCUGUGAGCCACAGCCCACGCCUCCCCUUGCCCUGUGAUUCAGACACCUGAGUUCAGAGCCAGCCUCCCCGAGUGUCUUCCAUCCCAACCUCCCCGUAUGAUCGAGCACUGGGGGGAGUGGGGAAAUCCCCAGGACUCAAAUCCCCAUCCCACCCUUGGUGAGGUGAGGACUCAUCCUGCUGGAAAGGCCCCUGAAGGACUUUACAGGUGGGGAAACUGACAUGAAGCGGAGUCCGAAGGGACACAGUAGUUGGGGCGGCACUGGGAUUUACAGCAAAGCUUCUUGGGCCCUUGAAAAGGACCUCAUUCCAAUUAGCUAGUGCUCCAUUUUUAAGCUUGUUGUAGGGACCAGGGGAAAAAAUAGAUAUCUGUAUUUAUAUUAUAUAUAUACAUAUAUAUAAUACACAUAUAUGUAUAAGAUCUUUAAGAAGUAGACACAUGGCCGAGCACGGUGGCUCACAUGUGUAAUCCCAGCACUUUUGGAGGCUGAGGUGGGUGGAUCAUCUGAGGUCGGGAGUUCAAGACCAACCUGGCCAACAUGGCAAAACCCCAUCUCUACUAAAAAUACAAAAAUUAGCCAGGCAUAGUGGCUCAUGUCUGCCAUCCCAGCCACUUGGGAGGCUGAGGCAGGAGAAUCGCUUGAAACUGGGAGGUGGGGGUUGCAGUGAGCUGAGGUCGCACCUCUGCACUCCAGCCUGGGCGACAGAGUGAGGCUCUGUCUCAAAAAAAGAAAAAAAGAAAGAAAUAGACACAUAUCACUAGGUUCAGGGUUCCAGAGCAUUCUAGACUCACCAGCCCUGGGCCUCCCCCUUCCUUUGUCCACUGAUCAGCCCUGUGCCCUCCAGGGUCUGGCCUGAACCCUCACCUCCUAGGUCAGCCCAGAAAUGCUGCUUCUCAAGUCCUGAGUCCGCUUCCUAGCACUGCCAAGCGUUCCACCUGGAGGUGACGAGAACUUCCAGGCUUUGGUCAUGGACAACUCUGGAACCCCGGAGCCUUACUUCCUUUUGGCAUUACAGAACCACAAGACGUCAUCUAGAAUCAUUGAGAUUCUCAACUCCAUUGGCCAAACUGGAACCAGGAAAAUCUUAGACAUCCAGAAUGGCCCCUGCUUCCUCGACUCUGUGAUCAGUCUAGACCCACAGAAUCCCGAUUCCCUUUAGACAUUCUAGAAUGGCACUUUUAAGAAAAACAACCCACCCUGUGGAUCCUUUAGAAACAUUGCUUACUCUCUUGGCUGGAUGCUCUACAGCCCAAAGACGGAGUCGUCUCAUGUCAAGAACUCCUAAUCUGUCACUUUAGCCUUUCUGAACCCACAGACUCACCCAUGUUUUGUGCAUUCUA